This 506-nucleotide ribosomal RNA is filed under the name uncultured bacterium. RNAcentral describes it as "partial 16S ribosomal RNA". It matches the Rfam family "Bacterial small subunit ribosomal RNA", at positions 29 to 523 of the family's 1533-position model. The record is from RNAcentral.
AGUGAACGCUGGCGGUAGGCCUAACGCAUGCAAGUCGAACGGCAGCACAGGAGAGCUUGCUCUCUGGGUGGCGAGUGGCGGACGGGUGAGGAAUACAUCGGAAUCUACUCUGUCGUGGGGGAUAACGUAGGGAAACUUACGCUAAUACCGCAUAAGACCUACGGGUGAAAGCAGGGGACCUUCGGGCCUUGCGCGAAUGAAUGAGCCGAUGUCGGAUUAGCUAGUUGGCGGGGUAAAGGCCCACCAAGGCGACGAUCCGUAGCUGGUCUGAGAGGAUGAUCAGCCACACUGGAACUGAGACACGGUCCAGACUCCUACGGGAGGCAGCAGUGGGGAAUAUUGGACAAUGGGCGCAAGCCUGAUCCAGCCAUACCGCGUGGGUGAAGAAGGCCUUCGGGUUGUAAAGCCCUUUUGUUGGGAAAGAAAUCCAGCUGGCUAAUACCCGGUUGGGAUGACGGUACCCAAAGAAUAAGCACCGGCUAACUUCGUGCCAGCCGCCGCAGUAA